This 67-nucleotide transfer RNA is filed under the name Marmota monax (woodchuck). RNAcentral describes it as "tRNA.Ala". It matches the Rfam family "tRNA", at positions 6 to 65 of the family's 71-position model. Rfam says of the family: Transfer RNA (tRNA) molecules are approximately 80 nucleotides in length. Lineage: Eukaryota; Metazoa; Chordata; Mammalia; Rodentia; Sciuridae. The record is from RNAcentral.
GGCUGUAGCUCAGUGGUAGAGCGCUUGCCUAGCAUGUGUGAGGCACUAGGUUCAAUCCUUAGCACCA